GCUGGGCAUUGUGGCACAUGCCUGUAAUCCCAGGGGCUCAGGAGGCUGAGGCAGGAGGAUUGUAGGUUUGAGGCCAGCCUCAGCAAUUUAAUAAAGGCUGUAAACAACCUAGUUAAGACCCUGUCUCAA
Molecule: small RNA, 129 nt
Filed under: Marmota monax (woodchuck)
Lineage: Eukaryota; Metazoa; Chordata; Mammalia; Rodentia; Sciuridae
Source: RNAcentral